AGUGGCGAACGGGUGAGUAAUACAUCGGAACGUGCCCGAUCGUGGGGGAUAACGAGGCGAAAGCUUUGCUAAUACCGCAUACGAUCUACGGAUGAAAGCGGGGGACCUUCGGGCCUCGCGCGGACGGAGCGGCCGAUGGCAGAUUAGGUAGUUGGUGGGGUAAGAGCCUACCAAGCCUGCGAUCUGUAGCUGGUCUGAGAGGAUGAUCAGCCACACUGGGACUGAGACACGGCCCAGACUCCUACGGGAGGCAGCAGUGGGGAAUUUUGGACAAUGGGGGCAACCCUGAUCCAGCCAUGCCGCGUGCAGGAUGAAGGCCUUCGGGUUGUAAACUGCUUUUGUACGGAACGAAAAGCCUUUUCCUAAUACGAAGGGGUGAUGACGGUACCGUAAGAAUAAGCACCGGCUAACUACGUGCCAGCAGCCGCGGUAAUACGUAGGGUGCAAGCGUUAAUCGGAAUUACUGGGCGUAAAGCGUGCGCAGGCGGUUUUGUAAGACAGAGGUGAAAUCCCCGGGCUCAACCUGGGAACUGCCUUUGUGACUGCAAGGCUGGAGUGCGGCAGAGGGGGAUGGAAUUCCGCGUGUAGCAGUGAAAUGCGU
Molecule: ribosomal RNA, 601 nt
Filed under: uncultured Diaphorobacter sp.
Lineage: Bacteria; Pseudomonadati; Pseudomonadota; Betaproteobacteria; Burkholderiales; Comamonadaceae
Description: bacterial SSU rRNA
Rfam family: Bacterial small subunit ribosomal RNA
Source: RNAcentral